UACGGGAGGCAGCAGUGGGGAAUAUUGCACAAUGGGCGCAAGCCUGAUGCAGCCAUGCCGCGUGUAUGAAGAAGGCCUUCGGGUUGUAAAGUACUUUCAGCGGGGAGGAAGGCGAUGCGGUUAAUAACCGCGUCGAUUGACGUUACCCGCAGAAGAAGCACCGGCUAACUCCGUGCCAGCAGCCGCGGUAAUACGGAGGGUGCAAGCGUUAAUCGGAAUUACUGGGCGUAAAGCGCACGCAGGCGGUCUGUUAAGUCAGAUGUGAAAUCCCCGGGCUUAACCUGGGAACUGCAUUUUGAAACUGGCAGGCUUGAGUCUUGUAGAGGGGGUAGAAUUCCAGGUGUAGCGGUGAAAUGCGUAGAGAUCUGGAGGAAUACCGGUGGCGAAGGCGGCCCCUGGGACAAGACUGACGCUCAGGUGCGAAAGCGUGGGGAGCAAACAGGGAUUAGGAUAC
This 454-nucleotide ribosomal RNA is filed under the name uncultured bacterium. RNAcentral's name for it is "bacterial SSU rRNA". It matches the Rfam family "Bacterial small subunit ribosomal RNA", at positions 340 to 785 of the family's 1533-position model. The record is from RNAcentral.